RNAcentral lists this ribosomal RNA (254 nucleotides) under uncultured bacterium. RNAcentral's name for it is "partial 16S ribosomal RNA". It matches the Rfam family "Bacterial small subunit ribosomal RNA", at positions 524 to 776 of the family's 1533-position model. The record is from RNAcentral.
UACGGGGGGAGCAAGCGUUGUUCGGAUUUACUGGGCGUAAAGGGCGCGUAGGCGGCCAGCACAAGUCAGUUGUGAAAUCUCCGAGCUUAACUCGGAAAGGUCAACUGAUACUGUGCGGCUAGAGUGCAGAAGGGGCAACUGGAAUUCUUGGUGUAGCGGUGAAAUGCGUAGAUAUCUGGAGGAACACCGGUGGCGAAGGCGGCCACCUGGACGGAUACUGACGCUGAGACGCGAAAGCGUGGGGAGCAAACAGG